UGUUCAAGGUAUAGUAGAGAGCUAGACAGGCGAUAGCUCCUGCUCUCGUGAAGGUCAACCUUUGAGGAGAAGACAGACAGCAAUACUUUAAUGAGAGGAUAUCAAACAGGAUGACUGCACUGAAGACAAGAAAACAGGGCAUUCAGGAGGAAAGAACAAAAUGAAUAAAGAGGGACAACGCUGGAGACUGAAAGAGACUGAGACGGUUUUGUUCAAAGUCAUUCAUUUUCAAGGAAACAGAACCCGAUCCAGAGAGCAAAGAAGAAAGAAAACUUCAUUACCACCCAAAAUAUGACUGUCCAGGGGAGCCUGGGUGGCUCAGUUGGUUAAGCGUCCCAGCUUUGGCUCAGGUCAUGAUCUCAAGGUUCAUAAGUUCAAGGCCUAUGUGCUGACAGCUCAGAGCCUGGUGCCUGCUUUGGAUUCUGCGUCUCUGUC
Long non-coding RNA from Felis catus (domestic cat), 435 nucleotides. RefSeq lists it as uncharacterized. The record is from RefSeq and is a predicted model, not a curated record. The transcript is spliced from 3 exons. NCBI's taxonomy places the organism in Eukaryota, Metazoa, Chordata, Mammalia, Carnivora, Felidae.